CAAGGGAUAUUUGUGUGCUAGUUGACCAGGUUCAAUGUUUAAAUUGGGGCUGGGUGCUGGUGUUGUAUGAGGGCAUGUGAGCCACGUAGGCUAGCUGAUAUGUUGCUGGCACCAUGGGAGGACACCUUAGCUGCAUGUCAAACAUGUCAGGAACACCUUGCCCCAUAUUCAAGUAUUUAUAGGGCAUGGUCCAGUAAAGAAUACUCCUUGCCCUCGAGCUCUAACCAAUAACCACUGCAAGGGUGAAGUUGUUCUAGUGUUCCAGCCAGUGUUAAUCCUCUCCCUUACUGCAGAGUUAAGUUGUUCCUGAGCUGAGUGUCAACCUCCUGUGUGGUGACCAGGGUCAUCCAAGUGCCCACCUCGCCGCGGUCAAGCAAUCACAAGCGAUUCCCCAGCUGUACAGUGCAUGUUUCGUGUUCUCCUUAGGUCAGUGAAGCUCACACCAUUUACUGCUUGAACUCUACCACUAUUGGUUGCCUGGAACUAGGUGUGAAAUUUGCUCAAACAUAGGCUGUCAGGUUUCUGGAUCCUAGACUUAGUGCAUAAGGCUGAAACUAGGUUUUAGUGUGUUCAGCUCCAUUUUGGUGCUUCAUAAAAAUUGUUCUGAAUGUUUUCAACCUAGGGGUACUAUACCAAAGUAGUAGAGCUAUAUCUAAGGAAUAACUUUGGUUAUGUGAGCUUGGUCUGUUGCUUUGUAAAAAUUGGAGAAAAGGGUUGGCUAAAGUUUGUCUGUCAGGCUGGACACAUAACUGAAUUUUUAUUCAGUUCUGAAAACUGAAUUGCAGCAGGAUGCCUAGUUUGGAAUUCAUUUGUGACUGAUUCAUGGGGUAUUGGAUUAAAGUUUCCAUAGCAAAGCUGGAGACCAUAGUAAAGAUAGCAAGUUUUAUAAAGUGAGGUGGACUUGGUUCCACAUAAUUUUGGAAGUAAAAGUGGCCAAAAGGUGGACUGUCAGGUGUUAGGAUUCAGACUUAGAAUAAUAUUUAAGUCUGAAUUUGUGUGUUUUUAUUCAAUUUGGGUCCUUGUGGUAAUUAAUCCAAGAAGAAUUGGGGUAGGAAUGUUAUAGCAAAGUGAAAGACCAUGUUAUAAGGAACAAAUCCCUUUAAGCAAGUUAGGCUUGAAUCCACAUAAAGUAGGAAAUAACAGCUGUCCAAAACUAGACUGCCAGAGUGAUUGUGACUGAAUUUUAUUCAGCUUAGUGCUUUGGAAAGGAGAUAAGUUUAUCUAGGGAAGAUAUAAAGUUGCUUAAGAAGUUUUAAGCUUUUGGAUGAGAUAUAAGUUGGAUUAAUUCCCUGGUUUACCUAAGUGAAUUCAAAUUGGUCACUUUAAUCGAGCGUUAAGAAAUAGGUGUAUUCUUGUCAUGUGCUUUAGUUGUAGUGUUUCUGUUCCCCACCUCUUCUUGUGAGAGUUUGCAUUACAUGUCAUUAGAUAAGCAUUAUGUAUUUGUAAUUGACUUGUAGAACACCUAAACGAGGUGGUAUUUGAAGAAGUCUACUCCAAUGCCUGCUCCUCAAGUGGAUGAAGCCAUCUAACUGGGUAUUGGAUAGAGGGAUCUAGAACCACUUCACUGCAACAAAGGCAAGCCCUGGUGCAUGCAACCCCUUCCUUGUGUUUUUAAAUUAUUUUUACACACUUUAAGUCUAGUGAAUGUGCAUUAGGUUUAUAGGAGUUGCUUGGAAACCCUUUGAUGCAUUGUCUUCCUUGAUAUCCAUACCUUUAUAGAUACUUCUGGUGAAGUAUCAAAAUAUGAUUUAUAAAAAUGCUUAGCCCUGCUUAGAUCUUGUGGAUAGAAGUUGUCUUUCGCAAUAAGGCCUAGCUCAGGGGUUAUCCUGAGGAAAGAUGGCUUCUACCUGCAAGAAUAUUUUCAUUGAGAGCGUGGUGGGAUCUUACUAUAAAGUUCCCUUUGAUGCUCUUUUCAUCCUAAGGAAUACAAACAAUCCUAAGGGUGGAAGUACUUAAAUCGGGACUUGGGCUAGGAACAGGUGAUGCUCCGCCCAGAUUAAUUAAUGAUUGGAUGCGUAUGUAGGCCUGUUGAUCAAGGACUAUCUUAACUAGCCACAUGCCCUGGAAAUGGGACAGGAUAAGCUUGAACCCGACUAUUCCAUACGUGAAAAGACAACCGCGCACUAGGCGUGGGAGAUGGUGGGAGUAGCGUGUACCCUCCUGGCUAAAGGCAGGAUGGAGGAGUACUGUGCUCCCGGGUAGCGCGGACCCGUUCACGUUGUGGAGGAUCUGUGGGAACGGUUGACAUAUGCAAGGGUUAAGUGCUACAUAUGUCGUGUGGUUAGAGAUCCUCAGCUGAGUAAAUCGAUUCGGAUCGCCGUUAUAUCCCCGGAGAGUGGAGACUUGAUCUCCGACCUGCAACCUAAGUCAGGAUGUGAACCUCAUGAAUAAAAAUGAUGUUGUAUUGAUGAGAUGGUGAAAUUAGACUAGAUGCAAACAGAGUCUAUUAAUAUUUAAUCUGGCGUUAAAAUAUUGAAAGUAAGGACUCACUUUAGUAAGCUAUUUCUGCAAAAGUAUCUAAGUUGAUUCUUGCUAAAGCCUCUCCUUGGUUCCCAAAUCCAGCAUAUCCUUGAGAGUCUUUUCUUUAGUCGGGUAAGUCUUGCUGAGUAAUUCUAUACUCAGGGUUUUAUUCCCUGUUGUUUUUCAUAAUAUAACUUUGUGCUGCUGUGAUGGUGUUAAGUGCCGGUGGGCUCGGCCUUCUUAUAUAAGUAUACCCCGUCUUUAUCUUCUUACUGAGGAUGGUCAUUUGAGCUAGCAUAUAUUUCAAACUUAUACUCUUGUAAUCACUCCGAUAAAAUAUUGUAAAAUUUUUGUAACCUGUAAAAUUUGGUAAUAAAAUUUCCGCUGCUAAAAUGUUGUGUGUGUGAUUUUUUGUUACUUAAUCCCGCGGUUCUGGUUGUAAGUGGUUUAUCCGAUGUCCUUGGGGCAAUCGGAUGGAUCCUGUUAAGUUAUCUGGUGCACAUGCAUGCCGUCUGAGGUCUUUGAGAUGAGGACAGGUGCAUGUGGGCCCGAUACCUUGGGAGGUUCUGCCACACCUAACUUGUCAAUACAUUCAAAUAUGCUUAGGAGACCCAAAUUUGACUCUUGUGCUAGAAAGGUGAUGAGUUCACCACAUUCUAGGACCAAGGCUAUUUGGGUGCCUAAGUCCUUAUUGGCUAACCUUGAUGGACCUAUCAUGAGAUGGGUACCAAAAUGUACUUAAUAAGUUUUGCAGGUACCCAGAGAUGAUAUGAAUCUUUGGGGUGCUUGAGCGGUUCAACUCAAUUCUUAUCUCAAGCUAUCAAUCUUACAUUAUCUAUCCUUUAAGAUUAACCCAAAGAUGAAUUGAGUUGUUAUUUCACUAACUUCAUAUUCAUCUCUAGCAAGAACUUGUGUUGUAGGGAAUAAGGAUUAACCUUUGUGGGAAUCAAGCAAAAGGCCUACAACCAAGUGAUAUCCAAAGGAUGGUAACAAUUAAUUCUUAAGUGCACAUUGCUUUUAAUUGGUAUAUUCCUUUGUGUCUUUUGUAGCCACAUAGGAAAAAUGAAGCACUUGAGAAUGAACUUAAAAGAUUUUACCUUGCUUUGGAAAGGAUCUAAUUAUAUGGUAGAUUGCAAGUUCAUAUUUUAUAUUGUGACAAUCUACAUGCUUUAAAUUGAUUGUAUGUAUCUUGUGGCAUAUUUCAAGUUAAUCAUCAUAUUAUUGCCAUGACCUAGACAUAAAGAGUGUUAUCCCAUGUUCUUAAAUGAAUAGAGUGCUAAGUAAGAAAUUCAAAUUCUUAUAGCACUUACCAAAUGGGGAAUUCUCUAUAUGACUAGAGUUGUGAGACUAAUGUUUCUAUCUAAGUGUUUAUGUAGUCUCACAACAUGAGAAUGUGUUUCCCAAAUGAAGUGUGCCAUUCAACAUUCAAAGAAGAUCGAACCAAUACUAUGUGAUGUAUUCAUUCUUGUUUAAAUUGGUUUUGAGUCUUCUCCAUUAAUCACUCACCAUGCUAUGAAUUAAACUUGCCAUAUAAACUUAAUUAAAUAAUCAUGCUACUUUCAUCUUUUUUACAAUUGAUGUUAUGCAUGAUGCUUGUAAGGGUAAUUUAGUUCAUAUCAUGAGGUUUCCUUGUUUUAGUAACCUUCUUAUCAUUCAUAUACUAGAGGUUGCUAAAUAGGAAACUAUUGCUUGUGUUACUAAUACAAUCUCUUUUAAGAUAUUUCAUGGAAAUUCAUAAGUAGAGAUUGUGCUCUUUCAAUUUGUCGGCGUUUUGACCCCGGGGGGUCCCUAGACCGACGAGUAAAUUGUCGCUGCGUGCCCCAACCCAGAUGGGUCGACGCGAGACGGAACACAAGGAGGGGAAAACCGCGACUUCGUGUUGUCCUGCUCCCAGGGUGGAUGCGCUUGUAGUAGGGGGUUACAAGCGUUCACGAGGGAGAGAGAGAGAGCCUAUCCGUCAGCCCGUCCUCCCGCGCGGCCACCUCUUCGUACGAGGGUCCUGGACCUUCCUUUUAUAGAUGUAAGGAGAGGGUCCAGGUGUACAAUGGGGGGUGUAGCAAUAUGCUAACGUGUCCGGCAGAGAGGAGCCAGAGCCCUAUGUACAUGCUGACGUGGCUGUCGGAGAGGUGUUAGUGCCCUGUGCAUGUGAUGUCGUGGCCGUCGGAGGAGCGCUUGAGCCCUGUAGAAGCACAGAUGUCGGGGCUGUUGGGACCUUGCUGACGUCUCCUUGCUUCCAUAGGGGGCUGAGAACCGCCGUCGUCAUGGGAGCACGUGGGGGCCAUCAUUACUUGUUUACCGGGGCGAGCCAGAUGGGACACCGGUCUUCUUCCCCGUAGCCUGAGCUAGCUAGGGGUAGGGUAAUGAUUUACCCCCCUGUAGCGUGGUCGGUCCAAGCCCAAGGUCGGGCGAGGCGGUGACUCCUCCGAGGUCGAGGUUGAGGCCGAGCCCUAGGGUCGGGCGAGGCGGAGACCGUCUUCCGAGGUCGAGGCGGGGGCCGAGUCCUGGGGUCGGGCGAGGCGGAGACCGUCUUCCGAGGUCGAGGCGGGGGCCGAGCCCUAGGGUUGGGCAAGGCGGAACUUCCUAUGGCACCUGAGGCUGGACUUGGCUGCUGUCAGCCUCACCCUGGCGGGUGGCACAGCAGUCGGAGCAGGGCAGGCAUCGCUGUUUUCCUGUCAGGUCAGUCAGUGGAGGGGCGAAGUGACUGCAGUCACUUCGGCCCUGCCGACUGAGGAACGCGCGUCAGGAUAAGGUGUCAGGCGAUCCUUGCAUUGAAUGCUCCUGCGAUACGAUCGGUUGGCGAGGCGAUCUGGCCAAGGUUGCUUCACUACGAAGCCUGCCCGAGCUGGGCCUCGGGCGAGUCGAGGGUGCGCCCGUUGCUUGAGGAGGCCCUCGGGCGAGGCGUGAAUCCGCUUGGGUCUACUGUUCCUGCCCGAGGCUGGGCUCGAGCGAGGCGAGAUCGUGUCCCUUGAGUGGACGGAGCCUUGACCUGAAUUGCGCCCAUCAGGCUUUUGUAGCUUGUGCUGAUGGUGAUUACCAGCCGAGUUUAGGAGUCUUGGGGGUACCCCUAAUUAUGGUCCCCGACAGUAGCCCCCGAGCCUCAAAGGGAGUGUUGGCACUCGCUUGGAGGCUUUGUCGCACUUUUUUGCAAGGGGACCGGCCUUUCUCGGUUACAUUUUGUUCCGGUGGGCGCGCGCGAGCGCACCCGCCGGGUGUAGCCCCCGAGGCCUUGGAGGAGUGGUUUGACUCCUCCGAGGUCUUAAUGCCUUUUGUGACGCCUCGACCGGUCUGGUUGUUCCCUCAUGCGAUCUGAUCGUAGCCCGGGUGCAUGGUCAGGUUCCAAGUUCUCGGGCUAGUAUGUUGACGCUGUCAACGGUUUGGCCGGAGUCGGGUUUGUGAGAGCAGCCCCCGAGCCUCUGCACAGAGUGAGAGGACGGUCAAGGACUGACUUGGCUUUUAUCAUACGCCCCUUCGUCGCCUUUCCGCAAGGAGGAGGGGGGGAAAGCACCAUGUUUCCCUUGGAGGGCGCCGAACAUGGUGUCUGCAGUGAGUUGCUAACGGGUGAUCCGAGUGGACGCAUGUGCCCCGUUCGAUAAGGGUCGGCUAGUGGCCCAGAGGCGCGCUCCAAAAGUACCUGCAGAUGAUUUGCCGGACCCGAUCCCGUUUGAUAGGGUUCGAGGGCUCGAUGCCUCCCUCUGAUGGGAUUCCGUUACAUAAUCGCUCCUGCUGGUCUCAGAAAUGUCCUAGGGUACCUCGGGAGCGUAGCCCGAGCCUCGGCCAUGUAUCGGACGUACCUAGAGUCAUCCCUCGCUCUGCGUGUUCUGGGGCGGCUUUCGAACCCUUCAGGGGGCCAGCCUUCGAACCCCUGAUCAGUAGUGGGCGCGGAGCCCGAGUGCUCUGAGGCGGCUAUCGAACCCUUCCGAGGGGCCAGCCUUCGAACCUCUGAUCAGUAAUGAGCCUGAAGUCCGAGUGCUCUGGGGCAGCUGUCGAACCCUUCCGAGGGGCCAGCCUUCGAACCCCUGAUCAGUAGGAGGGCUCGGGGCCCGCUUCCUUCGCGGAGAAGGAUCCCUUCCGGAGUAUCCCCUUUCCCGAUCACUGUAGCAAGAGAGAGAAAGGGGAAGGAGAAAAUGAUACGAAUUUAAAUGAUAUGGCGCACCUUUUUUGACGCGGUCAUCAUGGCGGAGGUGAAAUGUCGCCCGCUUCACCUGCCAAAGGUGUCGCCUGCCCUGCCGCGAAGUUAAUGCGACGGGACGGUUGGUUCGCGGGGCAGCCAUUGUGCAUGCGUGAGUUGUUCGAGGGACGGAACACGGGCGCGUCGUCUUCACGCCGUGGGAGAGGGCUCCCCUGCUGUUCCAGGAGGGGACGUGAGCCUGCGGACAAUUUGACUGCUGCUUCCGCCCGCCUGCUGCCGCCAUUACUGCCGGCCCACUUUUGGCAAUAUUGACCGUCGCGCCUUCUCCCGCGGCUGACUGACCCGUGACCGAUGCGCUUGGUUGGCACUUGUUGGGCCAUGCGCGGGGUUGCCUCGAGUCGCGGCACCGGUUCCGUAGUCGAGAAGGCACGACAUUGGCGUAAGUGGCGGUGCAGUUUUUCGCACGUAGUAACCGGCGCGCCGAUUACAUGACGUGUGGGCCUGGGCCUCCAUGCUGGAUGCGUCGAAGUCGAAAGGGUGCGUCUCCAUGGUGCAGUUGCAUGCCACCUGCAUGGCGGUCCGCCCUUUCACCCGCUGGUUUAAGCGAAGAUGGAGGAGUGCUUGUAACCGCUGGGCGGUUACACGCUCCGCGCGCGACGAUUUGGCUUCUCCUGUCCCGGGCCAGCUUGCAUGACGUGUGGGACCCAGCCCCCGUGUCAUAGGGGGAGGACCCUGGAGCGCGUUGGUGAAGACUUAGUCCGCGACGCCUGAGGACGCGAGUGGGGAGAGUCGCCUUUAAAAAGGGAUCGACCCCCCUGGGUGGUAGCCACGCCUUCGCACUCCCCUCAUGCAUUGCGCCCUUCCACCUUCCGAGCCCCCGGAUGGGGAGCGCCCGCGUUGCUUUCGUCUUGCUGCUGUUGGAGGAGCACAACUUCGUGGAGGUUGGCACCUUUCAGCCAUUGCUCGGCUUCAAGGAUUUUCAUCAGGCAGCCCGGCUGCAUUCCCUCACCAAUGGUCACGUAGGAUGGUGACCAUCGGUUUGAUGGUGGAGAGAAGCAAGCCGGGCUGUGGCCUCUGCCCCGCCCUCAGCUUCAAGGAUCUUCAUCAUCCUUGCUGGGGCGGGGAGCGAGGCGAGGCGGGGCCUACCUUCGCGUGGGCUGGCGUCCCGCUUCUUCCUCUGGCAUCUGGGGGUGGAAACCAUCCUCUAGCUCUGCGGAGGAGGCGUCCUCCAGCCAUGCGGGGGAAGGCGAACUGCUGCUGCCCGGCCAGGGUGCAGCAUUCCGUCCUCUACCCGGGCGACUGUGGCCGGCUGUACCGGAGGGUCUCACAACACGUCGUACGCCGCGAGGGCGGUACUCGUGUUCUGGGACGGUCCCAUUCUCGUUUUCGUGGCGAGGACGGGAGUGAGGACCUACCGGUGCGCUUUGGGGCGGCCUGCGCUCGUUGGUGCGGUGUUGGUCGGUAGGUGGACGCCGCCGUCAGUGCUGAGGUGGUGGCAGCCGGAGAAGGUUUCUCUGCCAACGAGAUCGUCGGCGCCAUCUACGCUCCGGGCCUCCGGCUCUUUGGCUUUAAUGUCUGGUUCUCGUCCUCCACGAGGGGAAGCGAACGAGAGCCUUCCAGCGGUAGCGUUCGCCUUGGGACCAUCGCUGCUGCUGCAGAGGUCGCCGGCGAGUCACCCGGAGUUUGUCGUCCCGCAGGCCCUCUGAUGUGGGGGUUGUUCAUACCCGCGGGAGUGGAACCAAAGUUCUAUUUGUAAUGGCACCUUGAGUGCCGGUGUCUGUUCAUUGUGGCUGUCGGGGCCUGAACAUCUAGGUAUUUGAGUGCAAUACCGUGUUUCUUCCUUAUUUCGAGCGCCAGGACUUGCCUGUCGGCUAGCUGAACCGCUUAACCAAGUGUGAGUUGCCCUGUGCGGAAGGUGACGAGUGAGGUAUCCGUAUCCCGGAGGCAUAGGAGUCCCUCGGCUCGGUCGGCCUUGCCACCCAAGGCUUCUCUUGCUCAGUUAAAGAAACCCUCGGCCGCUCUGCGAUGAGCCGGAGCCAGAGGCAGCGGUGUCAGCGUGGACAGAGGCAGAGUCGGCUCAAGAAGAAACUUCGUCGGCCCAGGAGCAGGUGACUUCCCAGGCCGAGGAGGCAUAGCAGCGGCGGCUGGAACCUGGCCAGGUCAUCCACUGGCGAGACCAACCCCGGAGUUGGGCUGCCGAGGGCAUGAGCCGGGCUGAUGUCCUCGGGGGACAGCUGGCUGCGGCUACGGAGCGGCCAGCCGAGCCAUCUGCUCGGGCCGGGUUCCUGGAGGAGACCUUGGCGGCGAUGGCCCAGGCGCAGUGCUGACAUCUUCCUUCGAGGUGGAGAUCCUCCGCCUGUGUCGCCGUCCGAGGCCGGGCCAGAUUCCGUCGAAGGUGGAGACGACGCCGAGGGUGCUGCUGCUCCCUCUGUUGAUGUCUGAACCUGCAGGAACAGUUUGUCUGUAGUACGUGUAUGUUUUUUGCGGCCGCCGAGGCCCAAACAUAUCAUUGUCGUGUUAUAAAGCUGUGUUUCUUUUCCUCUUGUUUCGAGUAUCAGGACUUGUUUGUUGGUAGCAGAAUCGCUUAUCCGAGCGAGAGUUACUUAUCGUGGAAGGUGAUGAGUGAGGUAUCCAUAUCUCGGAGGCGUAGGAGUCCCUCGGCUCGGUCGGCCUCGCCGCUUACGUGUACUCUUAUUUGUCCGUAGGAUUCUGUUAUCGAUAUAGUCGAGAAGGCACGAAAAAUCAUUUUGGCAGAAAAGUUUUCGAGCGUUAAGACUUGUUCGGUCAGCAGAAUCGCUUAUCCGAGCACGAGUUACUUAUCGCAGAAGGUGAUGAGUGAGGUAUCCGUAUCCCGGAGGCGUAGGAGUCCCUCGGCUCGGUCGGCUGUGCCGCUUACGUGUACUCCGUCGUUUUCAGGAUCCCACUAUCGAAGUAGUCGAAAAGCGCGAAAGAUGUUCUGGCAGAAAGACUUUUUCCGAGGAAAAUUUUGACGCAGAGGGGGUUCCCCCCUUCUAGCCCCCGAGGGAGGGUCGGGCUUUGCCGAGGCAAGGCGGACCCUUCCUUAAUGGUUAGACUCUAUUUGUGUAUGUAAAGAGGACGAGGUAUAUGAACGACUUGAAAACAUCUUAAGGGUAAAAGCGACGUAGCUGUCGGAUGUUCCAAGCGUUGCUGUAGACCUCGCCCUGACUGUUGGCCAGCUUGUAUGUUCCGGGCUUCGAAAUCUUGGCGAUGAUGAACGGCCCUUCCCAGGGAGGAGUGAGCUUGUGGCGCCUGAAAGUCGCCUAGAGGGGGGGUGAAUAGGGCGAAUCUGAAAUUUACAAACUUAAGUACAACUACAAGCCGGGUUAGCGUUAGAAAUAAGAACGAGUCUGAGAGAGAGGGCGCAAAACAAAUCGUGAGCAAAUAAAGAGUGAGACACGAAGAUUUGUUUUACCGAGGUUCGGUUCUUGUAAACCUACUCCCCGUUGAGGUGGUCACGAAGACCGGGUCUCUUUCAACCCUUUCCCUCUCUCAAACGGUCACUUAGACCGAGUGAGCUUCUCUUCUCAAUCAAACGGGACACAAAGUCCCCGCAAGGAUCACCACACAAUUGGUGUCUCUUGCCUUGGUUACAAUUGAGUUGAUCGCAAGAAGAAUGAGAAAGAAAAGAAGCAAUCCAAGCGCAAGAGCUCAAAUGAACACAACAAAUCUCUCUCUCUAAUCACUAAAGCUUUGUGUGGAGUUGGGAGAGGAUUUGAUCUCUUUGGUGUGUCUUGUAAUGAAUGCUAUACCUCUUGUAAGGUGUAGAAGUGUAGAAACUUGGAUGCCAUUGAAUGUGGGGUGGUUAAGGUAUUUAUAGCCCCAACCACCAAAAAUGGCCGUUGGAAGUGUGCUGUCGCAUGGCGCACCGGACAGUCCGGUGCGCCACCGGACACUAUCCGGUGCGCCAGCCACGUCACCAGAUCGUUGGGGUUUGACCAUUGGAGCUCUGACUUGUGGGGCCUCUGGGCUGUCCGGUGGUGCACCGGACAGGUCCUGUAGAUUGUCCAGUGCGCCAACUGCGCGUGCUCUGACUCUGGCGCGCACUGUAGCGCAUUGAAUGCGGUUGCAGACGACCGUUGCGCGCGAAGUAGCCGUUGCUCCGCUGGCACACCGGACAGUCCGGUGAAUUAUAGCGGAGCGCCCUCUGAGUUUCCCGAAGGUAGCGAGUUCAGUUUCAAGUGCCCUGGUGCACCGGACACUGUUCGGUGGCACACCGGACAGUCCGGUGUGCCAUACCAGGGUGCCUUUGGGUUGUCCUUUGCUCUCUUUGUUUGAACCCUUUUCUUGGUCUUUUUAUUGGCUAAUUGUGAACCUUUGGCACCUGUAAAACUUAUAGACUAGAGCAAACUAGUUAGUUCAAUUAUUUGUGUUGGGUAAUUCAACCACCAAAAUCAAUUAGGAAAUAGGUGUAAGCCUAAUUCCCUUUCAAUCUCCCCCUUUUUGGUGAUUGAUGCCAACACAAACCAAAGCAAGUAUAGAAGUGCAUAAUUGAACUAGUUUGCAUAAUGUAAGUGCAAAGGUUUCUUAGAAUUGAACCAAUAUAAAUUCUCAUAGGAUAUGCAUGGAUUGUUUCUUUAUUUUUAACAUUUUGGACCACGCUUGCACCACACAUUUUGUUUUUGCAAAUUCUUUUUAAAGUCCUUUUGCAAAUAGUCAAGGUAAAUGAGUAAGAUUUUUAGAAGCAUUUUCAAGAUUUGAAAUUUUCUCCCCCUGUUUCAAAUGCUUUUCUUUUGACUAAAACAAAACUCCCCCUUAAUAAAAUCCUCCUCUUAGUGUUCAAGAGGGUUUUAAGAUACAUUUUGAAAAUACUACUUUCUUUCCCUUUUGAACAUAAUAAGAUACCAAUUUGAAAAACUCUUUUUAAAAUAAGGUGGUGGUGGUGCGGUCCUUUUGCUUUGGGCUAUUACUUUCUCCCCCUUUGGCAUGAAUCGCCAAAAACGGAUACUUGAGUGAAAUAUAAGCCCUUUUUGCCUACUUUCUCCCCCUUUGGUAAAUAACAUAUGAGUGAAGAUUAUACCAAAGACGAAGAGUUGCUCGAAGCGACGACGAAGGAUGAGUUAUGGAGUGGAGUGGAAGCCUUUGUCUUCGCCGAAGACUCCAAUUCCCUUUCAAUACACCUAUGACUUGGUUUGAAAUUUACUUGAAAACACAUUAGUCAUAGCAUAUAAAAGAGAUAUGAUCAAAGGUAUAUUAAUGAGCUAUGUAUGCAAGAUAUCAAAAGAAAUUCCGAGAAUCAAGAAUAUUUAGCUCAUGCCAAAGUUUGUUAAAGGUUUGUUCAUCUAGUGGCUUGGUAAAGAUAUCAGCUAAUUGGUCUUUAGUGUUAAUAUAAGCAAUCUCGAUAUCCCCCUUUUGUUGGUGAUCCCUAAGAAAAUGAUACCGAAUGGCUAUGUGUUUAGUGCGGCUAUGUUCAACAGGAUUAUCCGCCAUGCGGAUUGCACUCUCAUUAUCACAUAGAAGAGGAACUUUGGUUAAUUUGUAACCAUAGCCCUAAGGGUUUGCCUCAUCCAAAGCAAUUGCGCGCAACAAUGGCCUGCGACAAUGUACUCGGCUUCGGCGGUAGAAAGAGCUACGGAAUUCUGCUUCUUUGAAGCCCAAGACACCAAGGAUCUUCCCAAGAACUGGCAAGUCCCCGAUGUGCUCUUCCUAUUAAUUUUACACCCCGCCCAAUCGGCAUCCGAAUAACCAAUUAAAUCAAAUGUGGAUCCCCGAGGGUACCAAAGCCCAAACUUAGGAGUAUAAACUAAAUAUCUCAAGAUUCGUUUUACGGCCGUAAGGUGAGCUUCCUUAGGGUCGGCUUGGAAUCUUGCACACAUGCAUACGAAAAGCAUUAUGUCCGGUCGAGAUGCACAUAAAUAGAGUAAAGAACCUAUCAUCGACCGGUAUACCGUUUGAUCGACGAAUUUACCUCCCGUGUUGAGGUCAGGAUGCCCAUUGGUUCCCAUGGGUGUCUUGAUGGGCUUGGCAUCCUUCAUCCCAAACUUGUUUAGAAUGUCUUGAAUGUACUUCGUUUGGCUAAUGAAGGUGCCCCCUUGGAGUUGCUUCACUUGAAAUCCUAAGAAGUACUUCAACUCCCCCAUCAUAGACAUCUCGAAUUUCUGUGUCAUGAUCCUACUAAAUUCCUCACAUGUAGAUUCGUUAGUAGACCCAAAUAUAAUAUCAUCAACAUAAAUUUGGCAUACAAACAAAUCAUUGUCAAGAGUUUUAGUGAAUAAAGUAGGAUCAACCUUUCCGACUUUGAAGCCAUUAGUGAUAAGAAAAUCUCUUAGGCAUUCAUACCAUGCUCUUGGGGCUUGCUUGAGCCCAUAAAGCGCCUUAGAGAGUUUAUAUACAUGGUUAGGGUACUCACUAUCUUCAAAGCCAGGAGGUUUCUCAACAUAGACCUCCUCCUUGAUUGGUCCAUUGAGGAAGGCACUUUUCAUGUCCAUUUGAUAAAGCUUCAAGCCAUGGUAAGUAGCAUAGGCAAGUAAAAUGCGAAUUGACUCAAGCCUAGCUACGGGUGCAUAGGUUUCACCGAAAUCCAAACCUUUGACUUGUGAAUACCCCUUGGCCACAAGUCGGGCUUUGUUCCUUGUCACCACACCAUGCUCAUCUUGCUUGUUGCGGAAGACCCACUUGGUUCCUACAAUAUUUUGAUUAGGACGUGGAACUAAAUGCCAUACCUCGUUCCUAGUGAAAUUGUUGAGCUCCUCUUGCAUCGCCACAACCUAAUUCGAAUCUUGUAAUGCUUCCUCUACCCUAUGUGGCUCAAUAGAGGAAACAAAAGAGUAAUGUUCACAAAAAUGUGCAACACGAGAUCUAGUGGUUAUCCCCUUAUGAAUGUCGCCGAGGAUGGUGUCGACGGGGUGAUCUCGUUGGAUUGCUUGGUGGACUCUUGGGUGUGGUGGUUUUGAAACUUGUUCAUCUUCCUCAUCUUGAUCAUGGGCAUCUCCCCCUUGAUCAUUGCUCUCCUCUGGAGGUGGCUCAACAUUUUGAUUUUCUCCUUCAUCAUUUUGAGCUCCAUCCUUGUUGGGGGCCUUCGGCUUCCGAAGGUCCUCAAAAACAUGAUUUGACAAUGUUUUCCAAGUAUGCGAGCAGGCAUCUUCAGAAUCAGGUUACGGGUAUACAAGAGCAUGGUCAAGACGAAGCUUGACUGGGAUGGAAGGCGAUCAUGACGAAGGAUGAGAUGAUCACGAAGCUAUAUGCAGAAAAGCUUCGGCAUGACAGCAGAAAAAGGAAACCGACUUAAAGAUGAAAAGCCAAAUUAGACCUCGAAGAAUUACUAGAGUUAUUGAUAAAUGUAAAGGGCAUUAAUGUAAUUUUACACGGGCUGCGUCCCGUGCCUAUAAAUAGAUGAACAGUAUUCCUGUACUGUUCACGCUGACUGGGCAUUCGCUUUAGCAUCACACUUGUACCCUUACUUUCCUUCAAGUCGAAGGUACAUUUGUAAUUUGUCGUUGUUUAUACAAGUAAUAUAAUAAAAGGAAUUAAUAAUAAUGUUCAAAUUAAUCAUGUUAUUUUCCGUGUUUUGUGUAUAAAUCUCUCUCAUCUUUUAUUAUGAUUAUGAAGGUGUGACCUUCAUAACCUUCGUCCGAAAUUCAUUAUAUCCGAAGGGAAAUAAUGCUUCGAAGGACGAAGGGCUUUGAUAUUUAACAUUUUAUGUUGCCUUGUUCUUAAUUCAUAGCAUUUGAGAACAAGUCUCCAACAUUGGCGCCCACCUCCGGUGAACUCACUUCCAUUUCUUGAGCUUUGAACAUCUUCGGCAAGCAUCACCUUCGUCAUGCCGCCGAAAAAAGCUUCAGCGACAGGGGCUGCCACUCUGCAGCCGCUGGACCCCAAUCAGGACGUCCUUUGUCUUAGGGAGGCCCGAAGCCAGAAGAGGAAGGCCACCAGUCCAAAGCCUCCGGAGGACGACUUGGACCAGGAAAUCCAAAACCUGGAGAUGCUCCAUCAACAGGUGCAACGAAAGGAGAAGAUGGCUCGUCUAGCUGACCUUCAGAGGCAGAUAGAUGAAGCUUCAGAAGAGGUUCGUCAUCUUGCUCAAGAUGACCAGAACCGAAGGCCUCCACGUAGAGAGCUUCAUCAGGAGGGCUUCUACAAUGAGGACGACUGGUAUGAAUAUUUCCAUCAUAGAAAUUUUGCUUUUGAUGAUGCUUCUCCUCUAUCAACAGAAUUGCAGGCUACACCAUGGCCUCAGUCUUACAAGCCACCCCAGCUCCCCAUGUACGACGGUCAUUCAGACCCGAACCAAUUCUUGAUGAGCUAUGAAGCAACCAUAUCUUCGUAUGGUGGCAAUACUGCAGUCAUGGCAAAGUCUUUUGUCAUGGCCGUCAAGAGUGUCGCUCAGACCUGGUACUCCUCUCUUCGGCCAGGGACAAUCACCUCAUGGCAGAAGCUGAAGGAUAUGUUGAUAACCAGCUUCCAAGGGUUUUAGACGAAGCUAGUUACGGCUCAAGCUUUAUUCCAGUGUACCCAGGACCACGAAAAAUACCUUCAGGUGUAUGUCCGAAGGUUUCUGCGUCUGAGGGCACAGGCGCCAACAGUGCCCAAUGAAAUUGUCAUUGAGGCCAUGAUUAAGGGACUUCGGCCGGGACCUUCAGCGCAAUACUUUGCCAGGAAGCCACCACAAACAUUGGAGAAGCUGCUCCAGAAGAUGGACGAGUAUAUUCGAGCUGACAAUGACUUCCGCCAAAGAAGGGAGGAAGCAUUCAGGUUCUCUGAAAUGACCAGGGGCUUCGGAGGAAGAUUUCAUCUGAGGCACGUCAGGUCAAUUCAUAAUUCUACUCAAAGUGAUGAUAGAGGGAGCCAACAGUAAAGGCCACAAUACUCCUCGCAAGCUUCGGGGCAGCAGCAAAGCUCUUUCCGGCCGCCAGCCCCAAGGGGCAGAGGCGUCAGGGGCUUCGAGGGAAGAUUUGGGGAUCAACCAAGAAAAAUUUACUGCCUAUUCUAUGGUGAAGACAAGGGCCAUACCACCAGGAUGUGCCAUGUUACCAUCCAGAAGCAAAAGGAGAUAGCAGAAGUUGUAGCACAAUAGAGUCAGCCGAAGCAGGUCAUGCACACUGCUUCGUAUCAUUCGCCUUACAUUCCAGAAUAUGUAGGCAAUCACCCUGCAGCUUCUGUUGCUUCGGCAAGCCAACCCCAAGCAUCUUGGCAACAGCCUCCACCGCCACCACCAACACAAAGAGGUCAGCAGCCAGAAGGGAGUCAACACACUCACCUUCAGCGGGACUUCAGAGAGGAGUCCGAAGCUCGCACAGUCAAUAGCACUGUGCCAGAGUCGAAGCACAUUUACUGACAAAUAUCCUACCUCGACAGUAGUUUUCCGCAUUUUCACAUUCAGUACUACUUUCUUUUUAAUAAGGAACAAUUAUGGGAAGUCUAAGUGUCUUUUAUCGUUUUUCAAUUCCUUGUAAUAGUUUCGCUUUUUACCAUAAUGAAAAUAUAUCUUCUCCAUAGGCUUGAGUUGCCAAAGCAUAAGAAUUUAUGGGGGCACGAAGGACCUUCGAAUUAUCAAAAAUUUGUUCCAAAGGACGCAGUGCAAUUUAUUCGAAGCAGUAAAAAGUCGUUCCUAAGGGAGCGCAGUGUAAGUUUUCUGAGCCUACAACGAAAAAUAAGCGUUGAUUCCGCUGAAAGUAAAAGGCGAAGAAGCUCCUAAGGGAGGCUUACAGCGAAAAAUAAACGCUGAUUCCGCUGAAAGUAAAAGGCGAAGAAGCUCCUAAGGGAGGCUUACAGCGAAAAAUAAACGCUGAUUCCGCUGAAAGUAAAAGGCAAAGAAGCUCCUAAGGGAGGCUUACAGUGAAAAAUAAACGCUGAUUCCGCUGAAGUAAAAGGCGAAGAAGCUCCUAAGGGAGGUUUACAGUGAAAAACAGAUGUCAACUUUCGGCAAAUAUCAUUUUGCACAACAUUACAUCAUUACAUCAUUUGCAUAGCAUAACAUCAUACAUCAUAGUGCAUCAACAACGCAAGAAGGGGGGUUUCGAUAUUGAUAUUCGAAGGCUGUUUUAAAGAGAUAGUUACACCAUUGAAAAGUUUUACCUUCGUCAAAUUCUGAAAUGGGAGGAUUUAGUGAUUGUUGAUUUUACAAGGAUUGAUUACUGAUUUUUACGAAGCAUGAAAAGAAGGGAAGGUGUUUUUUCGCCGAAGGCUCAAAAAUGGUAUGUAUAUGAUGUUUCAUGCAUCGUCAAAAAUAGAAUUAUAAAUAGCUAAUAUGUUAUAUCCAAAGUUACACAAUAUUACACAUGAUUCUCAAUAAGCAUUACAAUCUAAAUGUUUUUACAGCAGCAUUUAAUCUUCCUUUAAGACUACUUCUACAGCUUCGUUUAGAAGCUGAUCAACAACUCUAUCCAUGAUGGCUUCGGCCAUUUGUCUAAUUUCGUUAUCCCCCUUCGUGUGGGGGCCUGGAGAUAGCUCAGCAGAUUCUGAGGGAAGAGAAGAUAUGAAUAUAUUACUAUUACAAACCAUGAACAAGUUCAAAAUCAAAAAAUUACAACGAAGAGCCAGUUAUCACUAAUUAAUACCUAUUUGUCCCUCAGGCUCUGCGCUUUUCUCAGCAGCCUCUGCUACCUUUCUAGCAUCAUGGAUGCCUUUUUCACUUUUUUGAAUGAUUUCUUGGGCCAUUUCUCGGCCGCCAUUGUCCCAGAUGUCGGUGAAAAAUUUCCCAACGACCAAGCUUGCUUCGGCCGAGGGGUCUUUUAUAUCUUCGAAAGACAAGGCAGUUUCGGAUUGCGCUAAAGAUUUCACAUGCUCACAGCCUUUUCUUUCCAAAACAGUAACAAUCCCCCUGGCGCCCGAAAAAGCACAAAUGUCUCCGCGGCUAUUCAAGAUUUCCUCGAAGGCCUCAGCUUCGUGACUGAUCCAUUCAAUCGGGCCUUCUGGAUUACCCCUUGUGAAAUUUUCUUCGCUAGAGAAUGCGCCAACGCUGGCGAAGCUGGAUUUUAUUUUCUUAGCACAUUCUAUGGAUUUGUCAUAGAACCUUUUCUUGGAUGCACGAAGCUCUUUAACAUUUAUUUCCAAAUGAUUUGCCCAUUGAUCACUAAGUUCUCGUUUUGUCUCUUCAAGUAUGCGUUCUUCUUUAGCUCUGGCUAGCUGUUUCCGAAGAUCUUCAAUUUCGUGUUUUUGGGCUUCAGCUUGAGCCUUAGAGGUAGCUUCGUCUUUCUUUAUUUUAUUCACCAAUGUAAGCAGAAUUUUAUCUUUUUCCAAAGCUUCGUUCCUCAGCUUAAUAACCUCUGUUCGUAGGUUGUUGAAAGCAAUAUUGUAGCUCUCGUCUUCGGCAUUCUUUUGUGCUCUCAAAGCGUUGCUCAGUAUUAAACCCUAUAUGAAAAAGAAUUAGUAUAAGAAUAAAAGAAUGAUUCAAAAAUUAUAAAUUUCCAAAUAUACAAUUCUCACACCUUCAGACUAUUAUAUGCAAGGCUAUCCGCAAGAUCGUCCUUCGUCAUAGCGCAGAGUCCAGCUUCAAGCUUCGGAAACCCCAUACUUCUAGCCAUCUCCCGGCAGACAGAUAAUUCUUUGUUGUCUGGGAGACAGUAUAAGAAGUCAUCUUCGUCUGUGCCAUUGAACACUAAGGCCCCCUUCGGAUACUUCAGUUCUCGGGCAUAGUGAUUAGCUUCAAAAAUCUCUUCUUCAGAUAAUUUCUUCCCCGAAGCAUGUCGUACAAUAUAAUCACGUAUUUUGGAAGAUGCUUCGGGGGCAGCAGUGCCAGUUUCUUCACUCAAAAUUUGUUCUGCUAUUUCUGUUUUUUCGGCUUCCAAGGAUUUCACCUUGGCGGGCUCUGAAGGGCCGGCUUCAGUUUCAGACUGUGGCUUUGAAGCUUCGGCGUCAAAGGUUUCAGUGUGCACUUCGGAAGUUUUAGCAAUUUUCUUUGGAGUUGUGCUUGAAGAUUUAAUUGUCUCUAAAACAUCUAGCACAUUAACCAUCCUUUUUCUUUUAGGGGUCACUGCUGGACCCUUAUGGCUUUUUGUUGCCUCAGUUUUUGUCGAAGGACUCAAGACUUCUGAUGUCUUUACUUCCUCAGCCCUCAUUUCUUCUAUUUUUUCAGCCACUGGCACUUCGGCCAGCACUUCAAUAUUUGGCAGGGGAGCUGUUUCUUUAGCUUCAGUGGCCGAAGGAGUCCCACUGACAAAUGCAGGCACUGUGGCCGGUUCAAUAUAACGUGGCCGGUGUGUGAGAACUUUUACCCUUCUCCUCUUCGGCGCUGGCUCGCUAGGAGCGGCUGAAGCAGUUUCCUUCGCAGAAGAUGUAUUCUUUCUUUUUUCACCCCGUGCUGGAUAAUGGUAGUCGGGGUAGACAAACCCAAUUGCAUCAAAUACUCGGUUGAGCCUUUUCCUUUUUCGGCCUCCGAAGGCCACCGAUAAUGCAGUAUCUUCGGCCUUUGAGUAUACACCAAGUAAUUCAUCACUGAUGGCCUCAAUACUUUUCAACCAGUCAUCAUCUGGCUCAACGAAUUUAUCUCCGUAUUUAAAUGUGUAUUUCAGCCUGACUAGUCCACCUUCGUCAGUUUCUUUAAUGGUCUCCUUCGGCAUUUCCCAUUUUUCCACAAGUGGCCAUACUCUGAAGGCAAUGUGUUCUUGGACCAAAUCCCUUGUCCCAAUAAAAGAACAAACAACACCGAAGGCUCUCUGGCAUUCUUCGGCUGCUUCAUUCAUUUCCACCUUCGGCCUCCGCAGGCCGAAGCGUUGCCAGAUGGGACGCAUAAUGAUACUUUUAAUAUCUUCCCGUGAUUUCAAGUCAUUCUUCACGUAAAACCAUUCUGUCAUCCAGUCGUCGGGCCACCUCUUUCGGAAGGUUGGCACGGGGCAGCUUGACCCAGACCGGGAGCCGAAGCUGUAGCAGCCAAAAUGGUUGUGAUACUGUUCUUUACCCUAGGGUUUUGUUUCGUACAAUAAUUCAUGUAUGUUGCAGAAACUUUUCGCAUUAGGUUCCAAACCUUGGCUUCGCAUGGCCCACACAAAGAUGCUCAUCCUUAUGAUUGCUUCGGGGGUAAGUUGGUGAAGGUAGAUUUCAAAUAUCUUCAGUAUUUCCACAACAAAGCUACUUAAGGGAAAUCGUAGUCCAGCUUUCAAGAAGCUUCGGAAUACCACAACUUCAUUUUCCUCAGGAGUCGGACAAGUCUUCUCCCCUUUAUCAGCCCUCACAACGGACAAGUCCCGAAAAUACCGGCCCCUCAUAUUGACAAGAUGAUUUUCUUUAAUACUUGAUUUACCAAAAACCGCAUGGCUUGGUCGCCAAGGUCGAUCUUCGGAGUCUUCACCACCACUAUCCACAUCAUAACUGUCACUGUCACCGGUAUCUUCAGAUAAACCCUCCAAAAUUUCCUUAGUAAUCUUCUCUGUAUUAGUCUUUGACAUUGAUUGAAGAAAGCCCAGAUGCAUUUCCUCAGAAAGACUUAGCUUCGAAUCACCAACGGCUUUUUUAUCUUCAGACAUCCUUGCAAAUGCAGAGAAGGUGCUCUCGAAACCGAAGCUUAAAAAUCUAAAAAGCCAAACAAGUGUUGUUGCGCGCAGGCUAAAAGUUGGGUGAGUAAAAGCAGUUGGCAAGAGAGCGUGCCAAAUAAACUCGUGAUGAGCUCUUAUUUAUACACCUAGUGCGUUGAAAACUGGAGGGUCCCGCUUGUCAAAGACUGUUGCUAUUCUAGCAAAGAGAAGGUGUUUUUUCGGACCUUCGGCUUAAGGCCUUCGUCCAUGUCGCAAUAUGAAUUUAUCAUUCCAGCAAAUUAAUAUUGCGAGGGGCUACUGUUGGGGGCCUUCGGCUUCCGAAGGUCCUCAAAAACAUGAUUUGACAAUGUUUUCCAAGUAUGCGAGCAGGCAUCUUCGGAAUCAGGUUACGGGUAUACAAGAGCAUGGUCAAGACGAAGCUUGACUGGGAUGGAAGGCGAUCAUGACGAAGGAUGAGAUGAUCACGAAGCUAUAUGCAGAAAAGCUUCGGCAUGACAGCAGAAAAAGGGAACCGACUUAAAGAUGAAAAGCCAAAUUAGACCUCGAAGAAUUACUAUAGAGUUAUUGAUAAAUGUAAAGGGCAUUAAUGUAAUUUUACACGGGCUGUGUCCCGUGCCUAUAAAUAGAUGAACAGUACUCCUGUACUGUUCACGCUGACUGGGCAUUCGCUUUAGCAUCACGCUUGUACCCUUACUUUCCUUCAAGUCGAAGGUACAUUUGUAAUUUGCCGUUGUUUAUACAAGUAAUAUAAUAAAAGGAAUUAAUAAUAAUGUUGAAAGUAAUCAUGUUAUUUUCCGUGUUUUGUGUAUAAAUCUCUCUCAUCUUUUAUUAUGAUUAUGAAUGUGUGACCUUCAUAACCUUCGUCCGAAAUUCAUUAUAUCCGAAGGGAAAUAAUGCUUCAAAGGACGAAGGGCUUUGAUAUUUAACAUUUUAUGUUGCCUUGUUCUUAAUUCAUAGCAUUUGAGAACAAGUCCCCAACAAUCCUCAUCUUGAGUUGGUGGAGAUGCUUGUGCGGAGGAAGAUGGUUGAUCUUGUGCAUGUGGUGGCUCUUCGGAUUCCUUAGGACACACAUCCCUAAUGGACAUGUUCCUUAGCGCGACGCACGGAGCCUCUUCAUCACCUAUCUCAUCAAGAUCAACUUGCUCUACUUGAGAGCCAUUAGUCUCAUCAAACACAACGUCACAAGAAACUUCAACUAGUCCUGAGGACUUGUUAAAGACUCUAUAUGCCCUUGUGUUUGAAUCAUAUCCUAGUAAAAAUCCUUCUACAGUCUUAGGAGCAAAUUUAGAUUUUCUACCUCUUUUAACAAGAAUAAAGCAUUUGCUACCAAAGACUCUAAAAUAUGAAAUAUUGGGCUUUUUACCGGUUAGGAGUUCAUAUGAUGUCUUCUUGAGGAUUCGGUGUAAAUACAACCGGUUGAUGGUGUAGCAGGCGGUGUUGACCGCCUCGGCCCAAAACCGAUCCGAAGUCUUGUACUCAUCAAGCAUGGUCCUUGCCAUGUCCAAUAGAGUUCUAUUCUUCCUAUCCACUACACCAUUUUGUUUUGGCGUGUAGGGAGAAGAGAACUCAUGCUUGAUGCCCUCCUCCUCAAGGAAACAUUCGAUUUGAGAAUUCUUGAACUUCGUUCCGUUGUCGCUUCUAAUUUUCUUGAUCCUUAACCCGAACUCGUUUUGAGCCCGUCUCAAGAAUCCCUUUAAGGUCUCUUGGGUAUGAGAUUUUUCCUGCAAAAAGAAUACCCAAGUGAAGCGAGAAUAAUCAUCCACAAUAACUAGAUAGUACUUACUCCCGCCGAUGCUUAUGUAAGCAAUUGGGCCGAAUAGGUCCAUGUGGAGGAGCUCUAGUGGCCUGUCAGUCGUCAUGAUGUUCUUAUGUGGAUGAUGAACACCAACUUGCUUUCCUGCCUGACAUGCGCUACAAACCCUGUCUUUCUCAAAAUGAACAUUUGUUAGUCCCAAAAUGUGUUCUCCCUUUAGAAGCUUGUGAAGAUUCUUCAUUCCAACAUGUGCUAGUCGGCGAUGCCAGAGCCAACCCAUGUUAGUCUUAGCAAUUAGGCAAGUGUCGAGUUCAGCUCUAUCAAAAUCUACUAAGUAUAGCUGACCCUCUAACACUCCCUUAAAUGUUACUGAAUCAUCACUUCUUCUAAAGACAGUAACACCUAUAUCCAUAAAAAGACAGUUGUAGCCCAUUUUACAUAGUUGUGAAACUAAAAGCAAGUUGUAAUCUAAAGAAUCUACAAGAAAAACAUUGGAAAUGGAAUGGUCAGGAGAUAUAGCAAUUUUACCCAAUCCUUUGACCAAACCUUGAUUCCCAUCCCCGAAUGUGAUAGCUCGUUGGAGAUCUUGGUUUUUCUCAUAGGAGGAGAACAUUUUCUUCUCCCAUGUCAUAUGGUUUGUGCACCCGCUAUCGAUGAUCCAACUUGAGCCCUCGGAUGCAUAAACCUACAAAACAAGUUUAGUUCUUGAUUUUAGGUACCCAAAUGGUUUUGGGUCCUUUGACAUUAGAUACAAGAACUUUGGGUACCCAAACACAAGUCUUUGAUCCCUUGUGUUUGCCCCCAACAUACUUGGCAACUAUCUUGCCGGAUUUGUUAGUUAAAACAUAAGAUGCAUCAAAAGUUUUAAAUGAAAUGUUAUGAUCAUUUGAUGCACUAGGAGUUUUCUUCUUAGGCAAUUUAGCACAGGUUGAUUGCCUAGAGCUAGAUGUCUCACCCUUAUACAUAAAAGUAUGAUUAGGGCCAGAGUGAGACUUCCUAGAGUGAAUUCUCCUAAUUUUGCUCUCAGGAUAACCGGCAGGGUACAAAAUGUAACCCUCGUUAUCCUGAGGCAUGGGAGCCUUGCCCUUUAGAAAGUUAGACAAUCUUUUAGGAGGAGCAUUAAGUUUGACAUUGUCCUCCUUUUGGAAGCCAAUGCCAUCCUUGAUGCCAGGGCGUCUCCCACUAUAGAGCAUGCUUCUAGCAAAUUUAAAUUUCUCAUUUUCUAAGUCAUGCUCAUUGAUCUUGACAUUAAGUUGAGCUAUGUGAUCAUUUUGUUUUUUAAUUAAAGCUAGGUGGUCAUGGAUAGCAUCAACAUUAAUGUCUCUACAUCUAGUACAAGUGAAAGUAUGCUCAACGGUAGAUGUAGAGGGUUUGCAAGAUUUUAAUUGAACAACCUUAGCAUGUAAUAUAGCAUUCUCACUUCUAAGAUUGGAUAUGGUAACAUUGCAAACAUCUAAAUCCUUAGCCUUAGCAAUUAAAUUUUCAUUUUCAUUUCUAAGGCUAGCAAGAGAAACAUUCAACUUUUCAAUCUUAGCAAGCAAAUUAGCAUUAUCAUCUCUAAGAUUGGAACUAGAAUCAUCACAAAUAUUAGAAUCAACCUUAGCAAUAAGUUUAGCAUUUUCAUUUCUAAGGUUGGCAAUAGUAUCAUGGCAAGUGCUUAGCUCAUUAGAUAAUUUCUCACAUUUUUCUACUUCUAGAGCAUAAGCAUUCUUAACCUUAACAUGUUUCUUGUUUUCUUUAAUUAGGAAGUCCUCUUGAGAAUCCAAGAGAUCAUCCUUUUCAUGAAUAGCACUAAUUAAUUCAUUUAAUUUUUAUUUUUAUUGCAUGUUAAGGUUGGCAAAAAGGGUGCGCAAAUUAUCCUCCUCAUCACUAGCAUUAUCUUCAUCACUAGAGGAUGCAUAUUUAGUGAAGGAUUUGGAUUUCACCUUCUUCUUUUUGCCGUCCUUUGCCAUGAGGCACUUGUGGCCGACGUUGGGGAAGAGGAGUCCCUUGGUGACGGUGAUGUUUGCGGUGUCCUCGUCGGAGGAGGAGUUGGUGGAGCUCUCGUCGGAGUCCCAUUCCCGGCAAACAUGGGCAUCACCGCCCUUCUUCUUGUAAUACCUCUUCUUCUCCUUUCUUCUCCCCUUCUUGUCGUCCCCCCUGUCACUAUCACUAGAUAAUGGACAUUUAGCAAUGAAAUGACCGGGCUUACCACACUUGUAGCACACUUUCUUGGAGCGGGGCUUGUAAUCCUUCCCCCUCCUUUGCUUGAGGAUUUGGCGGAAGCUCUUGAUGAUGAGCGCCAUUUCCUCGUUGUCGAGCUUGGAGGCGUCGAUGGGUGUUCUACUUGAUGUAGAUUUCUCCUUCUUCUCCUCCGUCGCCUUGAAUGCGACCGGUUGUGCUUCGGACGUGGAGGGGCCAUCUAGCUCGACGAUUUUCUUUGAGCCUUUGAUCAUCAAUUCAAAGCUCACAAAAUUCCCUAUUACUUCCUCGGGAGUCAUUAGUGUAUAUCUAGGAUUACCACGAAUUAAUUGAACUUGAGUAGGGUUAAGGAAAACAAGUGAUCUAAGAAUAACCUUAACCAUUUCGUGGUCAUCCCAUUUUUUGCUCCCGAGGUUGCGCACUUGGUUCACCAAGGUUUUGAGUCGGUUGUACAUGUCUUGUGGCUCCUCCCCUUGGCGAAGCCGGAAGCGACCGAGCUCCCCCUCGAUCAUCUCUCGCUUGGUGAUCUUGGUCACCUCGUCUCCUUCGUGCGCGGUCUUUAGCACGUCCCAAAUCUCCUUUGCGCUCUUCAACCCUUGCACCUUAUUAUACUCCUCUCGACUUAGAGAGGCGAGAAGUAUAGUUGUGGCUUGGGAGUUGAAGUGUUGGAUUUGUUCGACUUCCUCGGAGUCGUAAUCCUUGUCUCCUUUCUUUGGUACCUGCACUCCAUACUCAACAAUAUCCCAUAUGCUUUUGUGGAGUGAGGUUAGGUGAUGCCUCAUUUUAUCACUCCACAUAGAAUAAUCUUCACCUUCAAACAUAGGUGGUUUGCCUAAUGGAAUGGAAAGUAAUGGAGCACGUCUAGAGAUGCGAGGAUAGCGAAGGGGCAUCUUAUUAUACUUCUUGCGCUCAUGGCGCUUUGAAGUAGUGGAGGCCGAUUCCGAGCCGGAGGUGGAGGGUGACGAAGAGUCGGUCUCGUAGUAGACCACAUUCCUCAUCUUCUUCUUCUUGUCACCCAUCCGAUGGGACUUGAUGGAGGAAGAGGAUUCCUCCUUGUGCUUGUGGGCGGACUCCCUUGAGUGUGUUCUUCCCGAGCUUGCGGACUUGUCGCCGGUCCCGAGAUCCCUCUUGGUGGAUGCUUCCGACAUCACUUCGAGCGGUUAGGCUCUAAUGAAGCACCGGGCUCUGAUACCAAUUGAAAGUCGCCUAGAGGGGGGGUGAAUAGGGCGAAUCUGAAAUUUACAAACUUAAGUACAACUACAAGCUGGGUUAGCGUUAGAAAUAAGAACGAGUCUGAGAGAGAGGGCGCAAAACAAAUCGUGAGCAAAUAAAGAGUGAGACACGAAGAUUUGUUUUACCGAGGUUCGGUUCUUGUAAACCUACUCCCCGUUGAGGUGGUCACGAAGACCGGGUCUCUUUCAACCCUUUCCCUCUCUCAAACGGUCACUUAGACCGAGUGAGCUUCUCUUCUCAAUCAAACGGGACACAAAGUCCCCGCAAGGAUCACCACACAAUUGGUGUCUCUUGCCUUGGUUACAAUUGAGUUGAUCGCAAGAAGAAUGAGAAAGAAAAGAAGCAAUCCAAGCGCAAGAGCUCAAAUGAACACAACAAAUCUCUCUCUCUAAUCACUAAAGCUUUGUGUGGAGUUGGGAGAGGAUUUGAUCUCUUUGGUGUGUCUUGUAAUGAAUGCUAUAGCUCUUGUAAGGUGUAGAAGUGUAGAAACUUGGAUGCCAUUGAAUGUGGGGUGGUUGGGGUAUUUAUAGCCCCAACCACCAAAAAUGGCCGUUGGAAGUGUGCUGUCGCAUGGCGCACCGGACAGUCCGGUGCGCCACCGGACACUGUCCGGUGCGCCAGCCACGUCAGCAGACCGUUGGGGUUCGACCGUUGGAGCUCUGACUUGUGGGGCCUCUGGGUUGUCCGGUGGUGCACCGGACAGGUCCUGUAGACUGUCUGGUGCGCCAACUGCGCGUGCUCUGACUCUAGCGCGCACUGUAGCACAUUGAAUGCGGUUGCAGACGACCGUUGCGCUCGAAGUAGUUGUUGCUCCGCUGGCACACCAGACAGUCCGAUGUGCAUCGGACACUGUCUGGUGACUCACCGGACAGUCCGAUGUGCAUCGGACACUGUCCAGUGACUCACCGGACAGUCCGGUGAAUUAUAGCGGAGCGCCCUCUAAGUUUCCCGAAGGUAGCAAGUUCAGCUUCAAGUGCCCUGGUGCACCGGACACUGUUCGGUGGUGCACCGGACACUGUCUGGUGGCACACCGGAUAGUCCGGUGCGCCAUACCAGGGUGCCUUUGGGUUGUCCUUUGCUCUCUUUGUUUGAACCCUUUUCUUGGUCUUUUUAUUGGCUAAUUGUGAACCUUUGGCACCUGUAAAACUUAUACACUAGAGCAAACUAGUUAGUCCAAUUAUUUGUGUUGGGUAAUUCAACCACCAAAAUCAAUUAGGAAAUAGGUGCAAGCCUAAUUCCCUUUCAGCGCCCUCGGGCGUCUUGUCAUAGCCGAAGUACCAAGUCCCCCACCUGGAGGUCUCGGGACCAAACCCCUCUGGUGUGGUAGCGUCGCAGAGACUGCUGAUACCAUGCCGAGUGUAGUAAGGCCAUGUCCCGAGCCUCUUCCAGUUGGUCCAGUGAGUCCUCUCGGCUAGUCUGGUUGCUUCGGUCGUCGUACGCCCUUGUCCUCGGGGAACCGUAUUCUAAGUCUGUGGGCAAGAUAGCCUCGACCCCAUAGACUAGAAAAAACGGCGUGAAGCCCGUGGCUCGGCUUGGCGCCGUCCUCAGACUCCAGACCACCGAGGGGAGUUCCUUCAUCCAUUGCUUGCCAAACUUGUUGAGGUCGUUGUAGAUCCUCGUCUUAAGUCCCUGCAGAAUCAUGUCAUUGGCACGCUCUACCUACCCAUUCGUCAUGGGGUGAGCUACGGUGGCCCAGUCCACCCGGAUGUGGUGGUCCUCGCAGAAGUCCAGGAACUUCCUGCCAGUGAACUGGGUGCCGUUGUCGGUGAUGAUGGAGUUCGGGACCCCAAAGCGAUGGAUGAUGUUGGUGAAGAACACCACCGCCUGUUCGGACCUGAUGCUGUUUAGGGGUUGGACCUCGAUCCACUUGGACAAUUUGUCGAUAGCGACCAGCAGGUGCGUGAAGCCCCCGGGUGCCUUCUACAAGGGACCAACGAGGUCCAGACCCCACACAGCAAACGACCAGGUGAUGGGUAUUGUUUGCAGGGCCUGAGCGGGCAGGUGUGUCUUCCUUGCGUAGAAUUGACACCCUUGGCAGGUGCGUACAAUCCUAGUGGCGUCGGCCACCGCGGUUGGCCAGUAAAAACCUUGUCGAAAGGCGUUUCCAACGAGGGCUCGAGGUGCUGAGUGAUGACCGCAAGCCCCCGAGUGUAUUUCUUGCAAUAGCUCCUGACCUUCGGCGAUAGAUAUGCAUCGCUGGAGGAUGCCUGAGGGGCUGUGGUGGUAGAGCUCCUUCUCGUCACCCAGCAAGACGAACGACUUGGUGCGCCGCGCUAGUCGUCGAGCUUCGACUCUGUCGAGGGGUAGCUCUCCUCGGUGGAGAUAUUGCAGGUACGGGGUCUGCCAGUUUCGGUUAGGCGUGACCCCAUUCCGCUCUUCCUCUACGCGCAGUGCCUCACCCUCGGUGGCCGAGGGUGCCUCGGGCUGGGCCGAGGCCUCCUCGGGCUCGGGCGUGUCGUCGGUCUUGACGGAGGGUUGAUGUAGGUCUCGGGAGAAGACGUCCGGGGGAACCGUUGUCCGUCCCGAGGCUAUCUUAGCCAGCUCGUCCGCAGUCUCAUUGUACCGUCGAGCGAUGUGGUUGAGCUCGAGCCCGUAGAACUUGUCUUCCAAGCGCCGAACCUCGUCGUAGUAGGCCUCCAUCUUCGGGUCGCGGCAGUGGGAGUUCUUCAUGACUUGGUCGAUGACAAGCUGCGAGUCGCCACGAGCGUCGAAGCGCCGAACCCCUAGCUCGAUGGAGAUGCGCAACCCGUUAACCAGAGCCUCAUACUCGGCCACGUUGUUUGACGCUGGGAGAUAGAGGCGCAGCACGUAGCGGAGGUGCUUCCCGAGGGGUGAGAUGAAGAGCAUGCCCGCACCCGCUCCUGUUUUCAUCAGCGACCCGUCGAAAUACAUGGUCCAGAGUUCCGGUUGGAUCAGAGCUGCUGGAAGCUGGGUGUCGACCCAUUCAGCCACAAAGUCCGCCAAGAUUUGGGACUUGAUGGCCUUCCGAGGAGCGAACGAAAUUGUCUCGCCCAUGAUCUCCACCGCCCAUUUUGCAAUCCUACCCGAGGCGUCUCGGCACUGAAUGAUCUCCCCCAGGGGGAAGGAUGACACCACAGUCACCGGAUGAGACUCGAAGUAGUGUCGCAACUUUCGCCGCGUCAGAAUUACCGCGUACAGUAGCUUCUGAAUUUGCGGGUAGCGGAUUUUGGUCUCGGACAGUACUUCACUGAUGAAGUAGAUGGACCUCUGGACGAGCAAUGCAUGCCCUUCUUCUCGUCUCUCGACCAUGAUCGUGGCGCUGACCACCUGAGUGGUUGCGGCUACGUAGAUCAAGAGGGCUUCUCCGGCAGCGAGGGGCACCAGGAUGGGCGCGCUUGUAAGGAGCGCCUUUAAGUUCCCGAGGGCUUCCUCGGCCUCGGGGGUCCAAGUGAAGCGCUCGGUCUUCCUUAAGAGGCGGUACAGGGGUAGGCCUCUUUCGCCGAGGCGCGAGAUGAAGCAGCUCAGAGCCGCAAGGCGUCCCUUGAUAGGCCCCAUGUUGGUGAUGGCCGCGAUUUUCUCCGGGUUGGCCUCGAUGCCCCGCUCGGAGACGAUGAACCCCAGGAGCAUGCCUUGGGGGACUCCGAAGACACACUUCUCGGGAUUGAGUUUCACGCCCUUCGCCCUCAGACACUUGAAUGUCGUUUCAAGGUUAGAGAGGAGGUCGGAGGCUUUCCUCGUCUUGACUAUGAUGUCAUUGACGUAAGCCUCGACCGUUCGGCCAAUGUGCUCUCCGAACACGUGGUUCAUGCACCUUUGGUAUGUCGCGCCUGCAUUCCUUAAACCGAAUGGCAUAGUAAUAUAGCAGUACAUGCCAAAAGGUGUGAUGAAAGAGGUCACGAGCUGGUCGGACUCUUUCAUCCUUAUUUGGUGAUACCCUGAGUAGGCAUCGAGGAAUGACAGGGUUUCGCACCCAGCAGUGGAAUCCACGAUUUGAUCGAUGCGAGGCAGAGGGUAGGGAACCUUCGGACAUGCUUUGUUUAGACUAGUGUAGUCUACACACAUCCUCAAUUUCCCACCUUUCUUUUUCACAAGCACAGGGUUGGCUAGCCAUUCGGGAUGGAAUACCUCUUUGAUGAACCCUGCAGCCAUUAGCUUGUGGAUCUCCUCGCCUAUGGCUCUGCACUUUUCUUCGUCGAAUCGACGCAGAGGCUGCUUCACGGGUCGGGCUCCAGCUCGGAUAUCCAGCGAGUGCUCGGCGACAUCCCUCGGUAUGCCAGGCAUGUCCGAGGGACUCCACGCAAAAACCUCGGCGUUCGCGCGGAGAAAGUCGACGAGCACUGCUUCCUAUUUGGGGUCGAGCUCGGAGUCGAUCCGGACUUGCUUGGAGGCGUCGUCGCUGGGGUCGAGAGGGACGGACUUAACCGCCUCUGCUGGCUCGAAGUUGCCGGCGUGGCGCUUCGCAUCUGGCACCUCCUUGGAGAGGCUCUCCAGGUCGGCGAUGAGGGCCUCGGAUUCGGCGAGGGCCUCAGCGUACUCCACGCACUCCACGUCGCAUUCGUACGUGUGUCGGUACGUGGAUCCAAUGGAGAUGACCCCAUUGGGGCCCGACAUCUUGAGCUUGAGGUAGGUGUAGUUGGGGACGGCCAUGAACUUGGUGUAGCAUGGUCUCCCCAGCACUGCGUGGUAGGUUCCUCGGAACCCGACCACCUCGAACGUGAGGGUUUCCUUUCGGAAGUUGGAGGGAGUCCCGAAGCAGACGGGCAGAUCGAGUUGCCCAAGGGGUUGGACGCGCUUCCCGGGGAUGAUCCCGUGAAAGGGCGCCGCACCGGCCCGGAUCGUGGACAGAUCGAUCUGCAAGAGCCCGAGGGCCUCGGUGUAGAUGAUGUUGAGGCUGCUGCCUCCGUCCAUGAGGACCUUGGUAAGCCUGACGUUGCCGAUGACGGGAUCGACAAGGAGCGGGUACUUCCCUGGGCUCGGCACGCAGUCGGGGUGGUUGCCUUGGUCGAAGGUGAUGGGCUUGUCGGACCAGUCUAGAUAGACUGGCGCCGCCAUCUUCACCGAGCAGACCUCCCGGCGCUCCUGCUUGUGGUGCCGAGUUGAGGCGUUCGCCACUUGCCCACCGUAGAUCAUGAAGCAGUCGUGGACCUCGGGGAACUCCUCUGCUUUGUUGUCCUCCUUCUUGUCGUUGUCAUGGCCUUUGCCACCUUCCGCCGGGGGCCCGACCCUAUGGAAGUAGCGCCGAAGCAUGACACACUCCUCAAGGGUGUGCUUGAUGGGACCUUGAUGAUAGGGGCACGACUCCUUGAGCAUCUUGUCGAACAGGUUGGCCCCUCCGGGAGGCUUCCAAGGGUUCCUGUGCUCGGCGGCGGCGACAAGAUCUGCGUCGGCGGUGCCGCGUUUUGCUUGUGACUUCUUCUUGCCCUUCUUCUUCGUGCCACGCUAAGCGGACGCCUUGGGGACGUCUUCCUGCUGGCGUCCCUGAGGCUGCUUGUCCUUCCGCAAGAUGGCCUCGACCGCCUCCUGACCAGAGGCGAACUUGGUGGCGAUGUCCAUCAGCUGGCUCGCCCUGGUGGGAGUCUUGCGACCCAGCUUGCUCACCAGGUAACGCGUCGAUGACAUCUGAGUCGGUGAUGUUGGGCAGCUCGGUGCGCUGCUUCGAAAAUCGUCGGAUGUAGUCCUGCAGGGAUUCUCCUGGCUGCUGGCGGCAGCUUCAGAGAUCCCAGGAGUUCCCAGGGCGCACGUAUGUGCCCUGGAAGUUUCCGAUGAAGGCUUUGACCAGGUCGUCCUAGUUGGAGAUCUGAGCAGGAGGCAGAUGCUCCAGCCAGGCUCGGGCGGCAUCAGAGAGGAACAGGGGGAGGUUGCGGAUGAUGAGGUUGUCAUCGUCCGUUCCACCCAGCUGGCAGGCCAGUCGAUAGUCCGCGAGCCACAGUUCCAGCCUUGUUUCCCCUGAGUACUUAGUGAUGGUAGUCGGGGCUCGGAACCGGGUCGGGAACGACGCCCGUCGUAUGGCCCGGCUGAAAGCUUGCGGACUGGGUGAUUCGGGCGAGGGGCUCCGAUCCUCCCCGCUAUCGUAGCGUCCCCAACGCCUGGGGUGGUAGCCUCGGCGCACCUUCUCGUCGAGGUGGGCUCAACGGUCGCGACGGUGGUGCUCGUUGCCGAGGCGACCCGGGGCUGCAAGCGUUGCGUCCCGCGUGCGCCCGGUGUGGACCGAGGCUUCCCGCAUGAAUCGAGAAGUCGCGGCGCGAUGCUCUAGGGGGUACCCUUGCCUUCGGGAGAUAGAGCUUUUAGCCCGUUGGACCACGGCAUCCUCCAGGAGGUUCUUGAGUUCUCCCUGGAUACGCCGCCCCUCGGUGGUGGACGGCUCCGGCAUCGCUCGGAGUAGUAUUGCUGCUGCAGCCAGGUUCUGGCCGACCCCACUGGAAGCCGGGGGCAGCCUUGCCCUGGCAUCAUCAGCGAUGCGGUGCUGGACGUCCUGGGCUAGAUGACGCGCUUCUCCGGCUAGUGCUCGGCCUGCCCACUCCUACCCGAUGUUUUGCCGGAGCUGCACAAGUUGUCCUGCUUCCUCGUCGAGCUUGGCCUACAUCUCGCGGAUUUGCUCGAGCUGUGUGUCCUGACCCCCCGCAGGGACUCGGACCACAGCUAGCUCCUGAAGGAUGUCAAUGUGAGGCGCAGGCCUAGGGGGAUCAUCGUCCUUCGGCAUACCAAGGUGGUUGCCUUCGUCGAGACCCCCUAGAUCGACGUGGAAACAUUCGCGACUUGGGCCACAGUCCUUGUCGUCAAGGCUAUGGCCACCAUCGGAGUAAUCGGAGAGGCAGUGGUCAUAUGCGGUCAUGAAGUCUUGCAUGGCGCUGGGGUUACCGAGCCCGGAGAAAUCCCAACCAGAGUCGGGCUCGUCAUCUUCCUCGGAACCCGGGGGCCCGUAGGUCGAGACAGCCGUUAGUCGGUCCCAGGUUGACCACAUAUGGUACCACGGAAGGUUAGGAUAUGCCUUUAUGAAAGCAUCCACCGAAGCGGGGUCGCUUGGUGGGUCGAAGCUGAAUCUAAAAGGCACAGGGUGGAAAACGGACGGUACCUCUUGAUUGACGAACGGUGACAAAGUCGCGUCGGGGACAGACUGCACUGUUAUCUCAGGUACGAGGCUAACGCCCAGCAAGUCCUUCGCGAGCGUGCUGGCGUCAUCCGUCCGCUUGGGGUUGGCGUGUUGCAGGGAAACGACGCUCGUCUUCGUCUCAGACGCGAGGUCAAUGCCCGACGUGUCCCCCACUGGGGCGCUGGCGUCGUCGACUCGCUCGACAGCCAACGAGGUGACACCUCCUGCUUGGCCAUGGUUGCCCCGCCUCCUCCUCCUAUGGCGGGGAAGGCGACGGGACAAACCCGGAUGCUGCUCUUCUGCCAUGGGGGAAAACAUCGUCGAUUCCGCCGCCGUCAGGCGGGCUAACGGCUGUCGUUGUCGCUGUCACGCGGCGAAGGAAGGAGUACCAUGUCGUAGCUGUCGUAGAGGGACAUGAACUCGAGACUCCCGAAACGGAGCAGCGUCCUGGGCUGGAGAGGUUGCUGGAGACUACCCAUCUGGAGCUUGACGGGAAGCUGUUCGUCAACACGCAGCAGGCCCCUACCUGGCGCGCCAACUGUCGGCGUUUCGACCCCGGGGGGUCCCUGGACCGACGAGUAAAUUGUUGCUGCGUGCCCUAGCCCAGAUGGGUCGGCGCGAGACGGAACACAAGGAGGGGAAAACUGCGGCUUCGUGUUGUCCUGCGCCCAGGGUGGAUGCGCUUGCAGUAGGAGGUUACAAGCGUUCGCGAGGGAGAGAGAGAGAGAGAGCCUGUCCGUCAGCCCGCCCUCCCGCACGGCCACCUCUUCGUACGAGGGUCCUAGACCUUCCUUUUAUAGAUGUAAGGAGAGGGUCCAGGUGUACAAUGGGGGGUGUAGCAAUAUGCUAACGUGUCCGGCAGAGAGGAGCUAGAGCCCUAUGUACAUGCCGACGUGGCUGUCGGAGAGGUGUUAGUGCCCUGUGCAUGUGAUGUCGUGGCCGUCGGAGGAGCGCUUGAGCCCUGUAGAAGCACA
This 33208-nucleotide long non-coding RNA is filed under the name Zea mays. Its description in RNAcentral is "long non-coding RNA (ZMAY_LNC003107)". Lineage: Eukaryota; Viridiplantae; Streptophyta; Magnoliopsida; Poales; Poaceae. The record is from RNAcentral.